CCAAAAGGCCUCGUGCUAGAUGGAUGCGGGUGUGCACAUAUAAGGCACAUCACCCCCUCUCCGUUGGUUGAUGUGGGAUCUUACAAUCCACCCCCUUUAAGUGUCCGACGUCCACGUCGGCUCACUCGCACCACACGGCAGAGUGGUGCUGAUACCAAAUUGUCACAUCCCGGGAUCAACUCCGUCGUAGCACGAUAUUGUCCGCUUUGGGCCCCCCUCUCUGCCCUCACGGUUUUGUUUCUGGGAACUCACAAGCAACUUCCCAGUGGGUCACCCAUCCUGGGAUUGCUCUAGCCCCCAACUCGCUUAACUUCGGAGUUCCUACGACUCCGAAGCCAGUGAGCUCCCAAAAGGCCUCGUGCUAGAUGAAUGCGGGUGUGCACAUAUGAGGCACAUCACCCCCUCUC
This 407-nucleotide long non-coding RNA is filed under the name Prunus dulcis (almond). RNAcentral's name for it is "sRNA ncRNA". Lineage: Eukaryota; Viridiplantae; Streptophyta; Magnoliopsida; Rosales; Rosaceae. The record is from RNAcentral.